Molecule: ribosomal RNA, 380 nt
Filed under: uncultured eukaryote
Lineage: Eukaryota
Description: partial 18S ribosomal RNA
Rfam family: Eukaryotic small subunit ribosomal RNA
Source: RNAcentral
CAAUAGCGUAUAUUAAAGUUGUUGCAGUUAAAAAGCUCGUAGUUGGAUUUGUGGCGUACGGUGUGUUCCGGGCACUUGUUGUCUGAGUAACCUGCUGUUGCCAUCCUUGGGUGGAACCUGUGUGGCAUUAGGUUGUCGUGCAGGGGAUGCCCAUCAUUUACUGUGAAAAAAUUAGAGUGUUCAAAGCAGGCUUAUGCCGUUGAAUAUAUUAGCAUGGUAUAAUGAGAUAGGACUUUUUUGCUAUUUUGUUGGUUUGCGCAAGAAGGUAAUGAUUAAUAGGGACAGUUGGGGGUAUUCGUAUUCCAUUGUCAGAGGUGAAAUUCUUGGAUUUUUGGAAGACGAACUACUGCGAAAGCAUUUACCAAGGAUGUUUUCAUUAA